Molecule: long non-coding RNA, 160 nt
Filed under: Sitophilus oryzae (rice weevil)
Lineage: Eukaryota; Metazoa; Arthropoda; Insecta; Coleoptera; Curculionidae
Description: uncharacterized LOC115890844
Source: RNAcentral
AAAGUAUCGAGUUGACAGUUCCUGAACCAAAUAAUACUGAUUUAGAAGACACGAAUGAACAGGUGACAAAAACUAUUGGAGUAACCCCAUGCUGCUCUAAUGAUGUCAAAAAAAAGGAGGAGGGUUAGUAAAGUGGAAUCCAUUGGUUCCAAAUUAAAAA